UGGGGAAUAUUAGUAAUGGGCCAAAGCCUGAACUAGCAACACCGCGUGUGCGAAGAAGGCCUUCGGGUUGUAAAGCACUUUUUGAGAGGAUGAGGAAGGACGGUACUCUCAGAAUAAGUCUCGGCUAACUACGUGCCAGCAGCCGCGGUAACACGUAGGAGGCGAACGUUAUCCGGAUUUACUGGGCGUAAAGCGCUUGUAGGUGGUUCUGUAAGUAGGGCGUGAAAGCUCCUGGCUCAACUGGGAGAGGCCGUUCUAAACUACAGAACUAGAGGAUGGUAGAGGGAGGUGGAAUUCCAGGUGUAGCGGUGGAAUGCGCAGAUAUCUGGAGGAAGACCAGUGGCGAAGGCGGCCUCCUGGACCAUUACUGACACUCAGACGCGAAAGCUAGGGUAGCAAACG
Molecule: ribosomal RNA, 402 nt
Filed under: uncultured prokaryote
Description: bacterial SSU rRNA
Rfam family: Bacterial small subunit ribosomal RNA
Source: RNAcentral